GUUGUCGUAUUCACUUCAAUCAAUCCAUGUGUGUUGGUGUGGGUUGGAGUGGAAUUUAGUUCAAGUUCUACUCCAAUCUACCUCAACACGUGUGGAUUGAUGUGAAUCCGACU
MicroRNA precursor from Sorghum bicolor (sorghum), 113 nucleotides. It matches the Rfam family "MIR5565 microRNA precursor family". NCBI's taxonomy places the organism in Eukaryota, Viridiplantae, Streptophyta, Magnoliopsida, Poales, Poaceae. The record is from Rfam.